RNAcentral lists this transfer RNA (86 nucleotides) under Streptomyces pilosus. RNAcentral's name for it is "tRNA-Thr(ggt)". The record is from RNAcentral. Lineage: Bacteria; Bacillati; Actinomycetota; Actinomycetes; Kitasatosporales; Streptomycetaceae.
GCGGCGGCUGGUCGGGCGGCGGCGUGACGGCGGGCUGGUUCUUCGCGGGCUCGCCGCCCGGCUGGUUCUUCGCGGGCUCGCCGCCC